RNA transcript from Triticum aestivum (bread wheat), 1891 nucleotides. RefSeq lists it as uncharacterized. Lineage: Eukaryota; Viridiplantae; Streptophyta; Magnoliopsida; Poales; Poaceae. The transcript is spliced from 2 exons. The record is from RefSeq and is a predicted model, not a curated record.
GUAGUCUACUUGUCAACAAUAUAAACCGGCAUCAACACGGUCCUUGUUACUCGGCUGUGUUUGAUAGCAAAGUACUCCCUCCGUCCCGAAUUAUAAGAGAAUUUUGCUCUCUAUGUACAAAAUCGCGAGCGUAAGGAAACUUUCUCGCUUUCCGAUUUUACCCUCACCCCGACAGCUCCCAUUCCCCUCGCCCGCUCCUCCGUAAGCUCACUUUUCCCUCGCCAGCCUCUCUACAGCUCACCCAUUCCUCUCGCCGGCGUCGUUUGCGCCCCCCUCUUGUCGGCGUCGGCGCCCCCCCCUCUCGUUGGCGUCGUCCCCGCCUCCCUCUCGUCAGCGUCUCCUAUCCCAUUCCCCUCGCUCACCCACUCCCCUCCAAAGAUGGCAUCGUCGUGUCAAAGAUCACCUUUUUACUCAGGUGGAUCUGCAUCGGCGACUGCUGCGGCGGCGCGGCGAUGAGGUGAGCAAGCUUGUGGGGGAGGGGGGUCGAUGCCCACACAGCAGCUGCGGCGCCGCGGCUCUGCUCCCAUCCGCCCACCUGCACAGCGACCAGCGCGGCGCUGCAGGACCAGCAGCUCGCCUGCGGCGGCGGAGGGGGCCUCUGUGACUCCGGCUGGAUUCACCACCUGCAAGGACGAUUGGAUCCGGCUGGAUUCGCUCAAGGCAGACGACAACGCCAAGGACGACUGGAUCCACGACCUCCCUCCCCUCGACAUGGCCAGCAGUAGCACCGAACAGAGUACUCCAUUGCUGUUUAGAUCCGGGAGAACCAUCUUCGGAGAUGUGCUGUAAUCUUUACUCCUAGUACAACAUGAACAGGUGGAGUAGUUGUUAUUGUUCAUAUGCAAAAGCAUAGUAUAUCCUCUGUUCAUGAAAUGAAUAUGCAAAAUUUCCAAUCAUUGUGUCAUGAAAUGAAUAUGCAAGAGUACUAGAUUAUCAAACAUUGUUUUGACAUAAACUGAUCCUACUGUGCAUAAUGGAGUACUCCAGAUCAUGAGCUUUGUUAGCAUACAUUUAAAUAUUCACACUAGAUCAUGAGCACUUCAUUACUCUUGGAGCAGUUUUGUUGAUGUCAAAUUCGUGCAAACAAUUCAAGCAGUAUUUCUGUCAAUGUAGCUACUCAUGGAGUAAAUUGUAAUAUUGGUGAUAAUUGCUGUCAAUUAAAUUUCCUGGAGUACCUUGUCUUUGUAAUCUUCCUACAGCAGCAUGAACCAAGCCUCUCUCAUAGGAACAGGAACCUGUUGAUUUCUCUGCUGUCAAUUCUCUGUGUCUUUGUAAUCUUCUUGCUGUCAAUUUUCUCUCUUCUCUGUUGAUGUUGCUACUGGAGCCGGAGCUACUCUCCUUCCCUGUAAUCUUCUUGCUGUCAAUUUAAUCUACUCUCCUUCCCUGUAAGCUUCUUGCUGUCAAUUUAAUCUUCUCUGCUUCACUGUAAUCUUCUGCUGACCUUCCCUGUAAUCUUCUCUACUGAUUUCUCUUGAAUUUGCUGCAGCCCGGAACGCAGCGAGCAACAGGAUGCGCUAGGUGUGGAGGAGCUGGGGGCCUGGGCGAGGAGGCGCUGGGGGCUGGAGCGGCGAGGUGCCCAGGGCCGGGAGCGGCGAGGUGCCAAGGGGCCGGAGCGGCGAGGUGCCCGGGGCUGGAGCGGGAGGUGCCCAGGCGCUGGAGCUUUUCCUCGCCCAGGAGCAGGAGGAUUUUGAAUUUGAAAUCCUCUGCAGCUUAGUGGGAUCGCAGGGAAGGCGAUCACAGGGAAGACGAUAGAAGGGGUAGAAAUGACUUUUUGUCACAUAUCGAUGUUGUCGGAAUUCUGGAAAACGCUCUUAUAAUUCGGGACGGAGGGAGUAUUUUCUAAGUAUUUUGAGAAUACCGUAGUUUUUUUUUAAUACCAAAGUUUUAUUUA